Lathyrus oleraceus (garden pea) is the source of this 1180-nucleotide long non-coding RNA. RefSeq lists it as uncharacterized. The transcript is spliced from 3 exons. The record is from RefSeq and is a predicted model, not a curated record. NCBI's taxonomy places the organism in Eukaryota, Viridiplantae, Streptophyta, Magnoliopsida, Fabales, Fabaceae.
GUCUUGAUGCACACCAAAUCCAAAUGCUCGUAGCUUUCCAUGGAAAUUUAGAUGCUUCCAUCCUCAAAUGGCCACUGAAGAAAUCUGGCUCUACACGAACCAAGUCGUCAUCGCCUCUGAAUCCUCGUAUGGAGCUUCUUCCCAGACCAACAUGGAAACUACAACUCGGCGAAGAACAAUGGCUUCAACAUUCUUUAUCCGAUUUCAAAUCGUAAUGGCAUGCGCGAAAUUGCCGAGGGAAAAUGAAGCAUGGAUCACAAUUGAAUGGAAUUCUACGUGCAGAAUCAAAGAGAAGCAGAACUGAAGAGAAGCGAAGUGAGAAAGACUAACCGAAAUGCGACGUAAACAAAGUUGUUGUUGCGGUUGCCGAGUGGAGGUUGAAGAUCUACGGAUCUUUGCAGAUUACGGCACUGCAAAUUCUCUGGGUGAAGAAUGGUGUAUCAAGAAGACGAAGGUGAAGCGGAAAGAAAGUGAAGCAGAAAGAAGGUCUGAAUUGCAAAAUGAAGAAUCUUCUUCAUAAUUGCAGUGAGGAAGCUGUUGAAGGUGUAAUCCCCAUGCUAUUGUAGCCACAACUGUAGUGUAUUCUUCCUCUUCUACAACAUAUUCAUCAGCUGUUAAUUAUCAUUGAUCAGUAAUGCAUAAUAACACUGAAUUGUUUACAAGAUUGCACGCAGCAACAAGAAAACCCAGACUAAAUUGUGCAAGCAAAUAGUAUGCCGGGAUAGGGUAAUGCUACAAGCCUCUAGUUUCCCAUAUUUUCAUAUCCUACAACUUUGGUGAUUUAUUAUUGGAGACAGUAAGUACUACGUUGAAGAUAUAUGUGCUAGCUGUCAGAAGAAGAGUGAAAACAAGAAGCAUGCCAUUCAGCUGCUGCAAUCGAAACAUGGAAGGGAAUGUUAGUUAUAAAGUUAAUUAGUUUCUCAUGGACUUUGAACUUUCUGUUUUUUUCAAUGAACUCUGCAUGUCGGAUGUUAACUUGGAGUAUCCAUUCAGUAAUGAGAAUUAUGCAGGAUGCACUGCCUAAGUUGAAGACCUGUACUGAACCGGAGCGGUUACCAUAGUUAGUCCACUCGUUGGCUUGUAUUUCUUGUUAUUUUUCAGUUGGCAUGUUUUAAUGACGUCCAUGUGUAAUUGUUAGAAUCAACUAAGGGGUUACUUAAGAUUUUUUUCUUCAAAAUAA